CGUGGACCAGAACCAAGGUCAGCCUAGAGCAGCAUCCAUCCUAUUUCGCUCCACAGCCAAUGACAUGCCUCUGGACGUCCACAAGCAGGCAUCGUUUCCAGUGACAUUUUGGCUGCCCUCCUCUGGACACGUUCCAGCUUGUCAGUAUCCUUCUUGAACUGUGGUGCCCAGAACUGGACACAGUACUCCAGAAAGAAACGCAAAGCUGGAUAAAAUAACAAAAUAGUCCUACGAUAAAACCAGCUCCACAAAAUGCAUUAAACAGCCACAGAGAAGAAGAGACAGGCCAGAGGUUGCCCUAGGAGGCCAAAGAAACACGAGGGAAUAACUGCCGUUCAAACAGAAGCACCAGCAAUGGAUGAUCAGCUCAGCCUGUCUUUAUAUUUUGCUGCUUUCAACAACAUCCCUCACC
Non-coding RNA from Zootoca vivipara (common lizard), 412 nucleotides. Lineage: Eukaryota; Metazoa; Chordata; Lepidosauria; Squamata; Lacertidae. The record is from RefSeq and is a predicted model, not a curated record.